RNAcentral lists this transfer RNA (50 nucleotides) under Peripatoides sympatrica. RNAcentral's name for it is "tRNA-His". Lineage: Eukaryota; Metazoa; Onychophora; Udeonychophora; Euonychophora; Peripatopsidae. The record is from RNAcentral.
AUAACAAUAGUUUAAUAAAACAUUGAUUUGUGGUAUCAAAAAUAUAUUUA